RNAcentral lists this small RNA (257 nucleotides) under Notamacropus eugenii (tammar wallaby). RNAcentral's name for it is "7SK RNA (ENSMEUG00000018291.1)". The stretch from base 1 to 197 matches the Rfam family "7SK RNA". From Rfam's summary of the family: 7SK was discovered as an abundant small nuclear RNA in the mid-70s but a possible function has only recently been suggested. Two independent studies have found that 7SK RNA binds the CDK9/cyclin T complex (known as elongation factor P-TEFb). The record is from RNAcentral. Lineage: Eukaryota; Metazoa; Chordata; Mammalia; Diprotodontia; Macropodidae.
AGAUGAAGGAAAACUGGCUAUAAUAAUUGUCCCUUUUUGGGUCAUUCAGGCUGCUUAAGAUGAUCUAAUUUGAUAGUUUGGCAUCCUCUUCACCUUCUGCCAUUUCAUGUUUGAACCUCCUGAAAAAGCCCUGUUCCACUAAAGUGGUUUUUUGUCCCCAGUUGAAGAGUACCAUUCUUAGGUCAAGAGUAUAUUCAAUCCAAGUCAAUAAGCGUGUAUUAAGCACCUACUGGGAGCAAGGCACUGUGCUUGACACU